CAGCCGCCGCGGUAAUACCGGCGGCCCGAGUGGCGGUCACUAUUAUUGGGCUUAAAGCGUCCGUAGCCGGGUUGGGAAGUCCUCCGGGAAAUCUGGCCGCUUAACGGUCCGAAUGCCGGAGGAUACUCCCAGCCUAGGGGGCGGGAGAGGCCGAGGGUAUUCCCGGAGUAGGGGUGAAAUCCUAUAAUCCCGGGAGGACCACCUGUGGCGAAGGCGCUCGGCUGGAACGCGUCCGACGGUGAGGGACGAAGGCCAGGGGAGCAAACCGGAUUAGAUACCCGGGUAGUCCUGGCUGUAAACGAUGCGGACUUUGUGUCGGACAAGCUAUGAGCUUGUCCGGUGCCGGAGGGAAACCGUUAAGUCCGCCGCCUGGGGAGUACGGCCGCAAGGCUGAAACUUAAAGGAAUUGGCGGG
RNAcentral lists this ribosomal RNA (414 nucleotides) under uncultured microorganism. RNAcentral describes it as "bacterial SSU rRNA". It matches the Rfam family "Archaeal small subunit ribosomal RNA", at positions 459 to 872 of the family's 1478-position model. The record is from RNAcentral.